Bubalus bubalis (water buffalo) is the source of this 2252-nucleotide long non-coding RNA. RefSeq lists it as uncharacterized. The record is from RefSeq and is a predicted model, not a curated record. Lineage: Eukaryota; Metazoa; Chordata; Mammalia; Artiodactyla; Bovidae. The transcript is spliced from 2 exons.
AGAAGAGGGGGCGGGAGCCGGGCAGCCGCGGAAGGAGGGUGAUUGAUCAGUGCGCCGUUCCCGGCGCUCUGUCCCGUUAUUAGAGGCGGCCAAAGCAGGGCCACGCAAUAACCUCCGAAUCGCCAACUAAUUGACGCUGCAGGCAACUACUUCAUUGUGCGCGCUGGUUUUAUGUCUUCAUAGCCGGUGAUUGACAAGGUGUAAUUAGUCAUCUCACUCGGUGAUAAACAUGGGCACCCUCCUCCCGCGGCAUCAGGCCGUGUGUACCAGCAGAGGAAGCGAUAGUUGACGCUGAUAUACCAUUAAAUCAAAAUGAAGACGUUCAGAAGCAGGGAUGUUGCUCUUGGAGAAUGUGAAGACAGUUUGCUUCUUGACAAGCGAGCGAACGGGCGCCCAGAUUUUUGCAGCCUCUCGAGUCUCUCCCGAGGGAAAGGCAGGCAGAGAAAACGCCUGAUUUGGGAGCCACCAGGGAAGGAUUCCGCGCAGGGGGAGCCGCCCUCUUUGGCCCCAGACCGGCCUGCCGGGGACCCCCUUUGGGCACAGCCAACGGAUGAUCUGAAACACUGAGGAUGGUGCUGGGGAUUGGGGUGGGGAAAGCCUUUUGGAUAAUAACUGCAAAGAAGAAAGAGGUGAAGACAACUGUUUCUUCUCUGCCUUGCAGCAGGAGGAACUGUGUUCUUAGAGCUGUUGGCUGCAGUCACAGGGCCAGUUGCCUGCCUCGGUUCCCUGAGUAAAGUGUAAUGUCUCCUGUUCUCAGGGUUGCACCCUUCAGCAAAUUAUAUACCUUGCUCAGCUGUGAAGUAGGUCUUGCUUAGGGAAAUGUGUGUGUGUGUGUGUUUAUGGGGGUGUGUCUCUCUACAGUGAGGCUGCUACUAGAGGUGCUAGUUAUUCAUUUCAAAAACCUGGUGGUUAAAAACUUUAAAAAGGGGAGGGAGCAUUGCUGGUUGGGCUCCCUGGGAUUGCUGGGGUCUGUCUUGACUCUAAUUCUGGUUAGAGAAUGGCGAGGACUGAACAAAACUACCAACUGAAAGCCCACUUCCAGUGUAUUACACAGGCCCCCAGGAACCCCCCAGUGGGGGAAGCUCCCUGCACUUUCCCCUUCUCUCUAACCUCUGUCUUGAGUUUGUUUAGCAGAGGAAUGGUGAUUCCUUGCCACCAUGCAGGAACGUGGGGUUGUGGACAUCUCCAAGAAGAGAUAGGGUGAAGCCGAGUCACAAGGAUGACAGAAAAGUCUCAUAUUUUCAAAAAUGACCCCCUUCUACCCAGGCCUGGGCAGGGGAGGCAAAGAGGGGAGUGUUUUAUACUGAUGUGAGAGGCUGUCAGUCAGCAGCAAAUCAGCUCAGGCAUGGCCACAUUAUGAAAUCAACUCUUUUUGCCUUGGUCAAACCUUACCGAAAAUCUGCUGGUUACUCAUACUGACAAUAUAAAUUAGCUGGCCCUUAGUUUUUUUUGAGGAAGAAUACCACAUCUGUUGAUAGAUAAAUGGCUUGGCCCGACUCAGGCAGAGAAGAGCCCAGUUCCUCCUCCUCUUAUCCCUGCAGCGAUCUGAACAGUUCCGAAACCACCUCCCAGGGCGUCAGCUGAGCAGGUUGGGGAACUAACCAGGGCCCUCUCUCUAGGGCCCUGUUAAAUGCACUGAACUUAAAAUGAAACACGAAGUGUGAAUUUCAGGUUUGAACAUGAUGCAUCAGGAAACGUGGAGGUUGGCAGCCCUUUUCUCCCUCCUGCCUUUCGGUAGCAGGUAUUAAUAUUGUAUUAAAUGUUAUGAGAAAGUAAAGGCUGCGGAGAGGAAUGUGCUCAGAUGCAAUUUUGUCAAGGUUUUUAUCUGUGAUUAUGAUUCCAGAUGUAGAAACUCCCGGAGGAGGGAAAUGAGGGGCUGCUGGCGUGUGACAUGUGUUUUAAGGUGUUUGGCAGUGUUUCUCAAAGUGGUGACAAAAUGUUCAAUUUUAUUACAGGGAAUCGGCAAAAGAAAUAUGAAUAUACUAGGCUGGAGAGUGUUCAUCUCAGCAGAGGAUUUACCAUUAUUGAUUAGGGUGGGGAAAGUUUGUAUCUGGGUCCGCUUAAAUCACAUUGUCAACAAUGUAAAUCUGUCAGAUCACAUUAUUCCGAAAGCACUAUUGUAACAAAUACACAAAGCUAAUUGCAUCUCUCUACCUUCUAAUUUCCAUGCAAGAUGUAAACUGCCCUGGAAGCACACACAAAAAGUAAAUAUUGCAACGUGUCAUUUUUUAAAACUGGUGUACCUACCACCA